AUCACACCACGUUGAAACAUCGGUUCCCAUACGAACACAGGAGUUAAGCAACGUUGACUCUGGCCAGUUCCGACAUGGUGACCAUUUGGGAAUACCAGGUGCUGUU
Molecule: non-coding RNA, 106 nt
Organism: Acanthosepion pharaonis
Lineage: Eukaryota; Metazoa; Mollusca; Cephalopoda; Sepiida; Sepiidae
Source: the annotation of a GenBank genome assembly